GGCCGGCCUCUCCUUUUCCUAGUGUAAAUAGGGUUCCCUCUCCCCCCUUUUUAUUUUAUUUUCCUUUCUCUCUUCUUAAAUUCCUUCCUGACUUCAAUUUAGAAGAAAACAAACAAAAAUCUGGAAGCAUACAUUUGUUAAUGACAGUUGUCAGUGCUUCAUCUUACCUUUGUGAGUUACUUACCGGUAGUUACAGAAACAUAAAGCAAUGUCUACCUGUAAGAAAAGGCAGAGCUUAACCCUUUAAGGAGUGAGCCAGUUGUACACGUUGUGAUCAAAGCAAAGUGUAAACAAAAC
This is a non-coding RNA of Pelobates cultripes (western spadefoot toad), 297 nucleotides long. Lineage: Eukaryota; Metazoa; Chordata; Amphibia; Anura; Pelobatidae. The record is from the annotation of a GenBank genome assembly.